RNAcentral lists this ribosomal RNA (667 nucleotides) under Yersinia enterocolitica. RNAcentral describes it as "partial 23S ribosomal RNA". It matches the Rfam family "Bacterial large subunit ribosomal RNA", at positions 2263 to 2925 of the family's 2925-position model. The record is from RNAcentral. Lineage: Bacteria; Pseudomonadati; Pseudomonadota; Gammaproteobacteria; Enterobacterales; Yersiniaceae.
GGGUAGUUUGACUGGGGCGGUCUCCUCCCAAAGAGUAACGGAGGAGCACGAAGGUUAGCUAAUCACGGUCGGACAUCGUGAGGUUAGUGCAAAGGCAUAAGCUAGCUUGACUGCGAGAGUGACGGCUCGAGCAGGUACGAAAGUAGGUCUUAGUGAUCCGGUGGUUCUGAAUGGAAGGGCCAUCGCUCAACGGAUAAAAGGUACUCCGGGGAUAACAGGCUGAUACCGCCCAAGAGUUCAUAUCGACGGCGGUGUUUGGCACCUCGAUGUCGGCUCAUCACAUCCUGGGGCUGAAGUAGGUCCCAAGGGUAUGGCUGUUCGCCAUUUAAAGUGGUACGCGAGCUGGGUUUAGAACGUCGUGAGACAGUUCGGUCCCUAUCUGCCGUGGGCGUUGGAAGAUUGAGAGGGGCUGCUCCUAGUACGAGAGGACCGGAGUGGACGAAUCACUGGUGUUCGGGUUGUCAUGCCAAUGGCAUUGCCCGGUAGCUAAAUUCGGAAGAGAUAACCGCUGAAAGCAUCUAAGCGGGAAACUUGCCUCGAGAUGAGUCUUCCCUGGGGCUUUAAGCCCCCUGAAGGAACGUUAAAGACUAUGACGUUGAUAGGCUGGGUGUGUAAGUGCAGCGAUGCAUUGAGCUAACCAGUACUAAUGAUCCGUGAGGCUUAACCU